GGAGAGUAUAGCUCAGAGUGCAUGCCUAGCAUGCAUGAGGUCCUGGGUUCAAUUCACAGUACCUCUA
RNAcentral lists this transfer RNA (67 nucleotides) under Camelus bactrianus (Bactrian camel). It matches the Rfam family "tRNA". From Rfam's summary of the family: Transfer RNA (tRNA) molecules are approximately 80 nucleotides in length. Lineage: Eukaryota; Metazoa; Chordata; Mammalia; Artiodactyla; Camelidae. The record is from Rfam by way of RNAcentral. RNAcentral also lists the same sequence under 1 other name.